Sitophilus oryzae (rice weevil) is the source of this 1295-nucleotide long non-coding RNA. RefSeq lists it as uncharacterized. The transcript is spliced from 7 exons. The record is from RefSeq and is a predicted model, not a curated record. NCBI's taxonomy places the organism in Eukaryota, Metazoa, Arthropoda, Insecta, Coleoptera, Curculionidae.
UUGUGAUUUUACGUUGUCAACAGAAAGUUGUUAUGCCUCUCUUAAAUUUUUCCGAUUUUCUGGUAGAAAAAGAUAUUUCUCUAUACGCUAUAAGAGUUUAUUCUGUUCCUUAAGGCCUGUUUGAUCUCCUGAAAAUAGAGAGAGAGAGAGAGAAUCGAGUAUAAGAAAAUAUAGAUAAUGGAUACAUUUCUUGAUGCCUCUAUUGGACAAUGAAAAUAUAGUUACUUAGAAUAUUACUUCAUAUUUGGAUACUUUUUGGUAGAAUUUAAAGAUGUUUUUUAUUCCUAAGGAUUUCCUUUAAAAUUAUCUUUAGGUGUUUGUUCAUACAGGCAAUCAAAUAUUUUCUACAUCUUUUAGAAUAGGAGUGUUAUUAAUAAUACAGAUCCAGCACCUAAAGAACACUUAAAAGAAUAGACUUGGAUCACCCCUUAUAUAAUUCUGAUGUUUGGCCAUUGGAUUGGUUUUCUAUUAUCCGAUUUAAAAUUUUCUACAACAAAUCAAUGGAUGUAUAGAGUUCCAGGGCAGUACAUUAUUUGUCCUUUUCAUGAAUAUUACCAACAAUGCAUCCAAAAUAUAUUUCUUUUGGGCAUGACUUACUAACGUGAUUUAUCUACAACAAGAAGUGUUCAACAAUUUCUACGAUAGAUAUGCAAUAAUACAGUGAAGAGAGCUUGCUAUGAAGAACAAAUUAGAAUACAUCAAGUAAAAUGGAAAGAAAUAAGGAUAGUUAUCUUUUGGGAACAUGUAUUUGGGUCAUAGAUAUAAUUUCGUAAGAAAACCUCAUCGAUUGUUCCCUGCUUUUCAAUGAAACUGUGUGCCUAAAAGGAGUAAACCUGGAGCAACAAUAUUGGAAUCAACAAAACCAAUGUGAGAUGGUUUCUGCUUUCAAAUAGUUCCUGCAAAUACCUCUUCCAAAAAUUAUGCUCUCGAACAUUCAAAUCCUUGGACUCUGUGCUGUACCUCCCAAACCUGCUUUUUCUUUGAUAUAAAGAUAAUUUGAAAAUACUCUUUUUGAGUAUUAUUGUUAUGAAGAUAUGAUUGCAGUGGAUAAGAAAUAUAUGCGAGCUACUGGAAACAUGAACAACCAGUAUUCAUCAGAAAGAAAAUUGGUGAAAAUUUAAUAGAAGAGUCAAGAAUCCAUCCAAGGAGUUAUUUUAUUUCUGUAAUUAAUUCUAACCUCUAGCAUUCUCUAAUAAAUCUUAAUAAAAUUGUAAUGUACAUAGUUUCAUUUGAAUCCCUUGAAUAGUCUUUAAAUUUAAGUAUCUAACAUAAAUGUUGUAUUACUAUAUGGUGGU